UGGGUUGUGGCUCAAUGUUAGAGCGUUUACCUACCAUGUGUGAGGCACUAGGUUCAAUUCUUAGCACUGCAU
This 72-nucleotide transfer RNA is filed under the name Ictidomys tridecemlineatus (thirteen-lined ground squirrel). RNAcentral's name for it is "Spermophilus tridecemlineatus (thirteen-lined ground squirrel) tRNA". It matches the Rfam family "tRNA". From Rfam's summary of the family: Transfer RNA (tRNA) molecules are approximately 80 nucleotides in length. Their secondary structure includes four short double-helical elements and three loops (D, anti-codon, and T loops). Lineage: Eukaryota; Metazoa; Chordata; Mammalia; Rodentia; Sciuridae. The record is from Rfam by way of RNAcentral.